AAUAGAUACCCAGGUAGUCCACGCCGUAAACGAUGAGUGCUAAGUGUUAGGGGGUUUCCGCCCCUUAGUGCUGCAGCUAACGCAUUAAGCACUCCGCCUGGGGAGUACGGUCGCAAGACUGAAACUCAAAGGAAUUGACGGGGGCCCGCACAAGCGAUGGAGCAUGUGGUUUAAUUCGAAGCAACGCGAAGAACCUUACCAGGUCUUGACAUCCCAUUGACCGCUAUGGAGACAUAGCUUUCCCUUCGGGGACAGUGGUGACAGGUGGUGCAUGGUUGUCGUCAGCUCGUGUCGUGAGAUGUUGGGUUAAGUCCCGCAACGAGCGCAACCCUUGUUCUUAGUUGCCAUCAUUUAGUUGGGCACUCUAAGGAGACUGCCGGUGACAAACCGGAGGAAGGUGGGGAUGGCGUCAAAUCAUCAUGCCCCUUAUGACCUGGGCUACACACGUGCUACAAUGGACGGUACAAACGGUUGCCAACCCGCGAGGGGAGCUAAUCCGAUAAAACCGUUCUCAGUUCGGAUUGUAGGCUGCAACUCGCCUA
Molecule: ribosomal RNA, 542 nt
Filed under: uncultured bacterium
Lineage: Bacteria
Description: bacterial SSU rRNA
Rfam family: Bacterial small subunit ribosomal RNA
Source: RNAcentral